Molecule: non-coding RNA, 454 nt
Organism: Kogia breviceps (pygmy sperm whale)
Lineage: Eukaryota; Metazoa; Chordata; Mammalia; Artiodactyla; Physeteridae
Source: the annotation of a RefSeq genome assembly
AGAAGGCAGCGUCUGGGGCGUCUCCACCAUGGCCUGGGCUCUGCUCCUUGUCACCCUUCUCACUCAGGACACAGGGUCCUGGGCCCAGUCCGGCCUGACUCAGCCUCCCUCAGUGUCCGGGAAUCUGGGACAGACAGUCACCAUCUCCUGUGCUGGAACCAGCAGUGACAUCGGGAAAUAUAACUAUGUCGGCUGGUACCAGCAGCACCCGGGCACGGCCCCCAAAACCCUGAUUUAUGAUGUCAAUAAACGGCCCUCAGGGAUCCCUGACCGCUUCUCUGGCUCCAAGUCUGGCAACACGGCCUCCCUGACCAUCUCUGGGCUCCAGGCUGGGGAUGAGGCCGUUUAUUACUGUAGCUCAUAUAGAAGUGGUAACACUGUGCACAGUGGUCCAAGUUCAUGGAGAAACGAGACCAAAACCUGCCCUGAGCUCACAGGCUCCCCGUUGCUGUGA